AAAUGGAUGGAUGGAUGGCUGUCGGAGGAGAAAUACUGGUGAGAUUAAUCUUUUUGCUAGUAAGCUGUGUGGUCACAUGGAUGCUCGUUUUCCAAAUGAUGAAUUAAAGGAGUGUCAGCAUUUGACAUUGAAGCACUGAGCUCAGACAUCAGUUUUGACUAUGGAUCAGCAGACAUUUCUACACUGGACAAAGUGUACAACCAUUGGAGAAGUGAGAAAGACAGAUGUGAAAAAACUGUGUAAUUAAAUAUUUUACAGACAAGAAUUUAUACAGUAUCACAAGCUAGACACACAGUUCAUUGUGCAGAAUGUGAAUGUUUUAAUGUGAACAAAAAGUUAUGUCUGAAAGGUGUAAUGUCUCAUUUCUCACCAUGGCCAAAGCAGGACUCUUACAUAUAACAUACUACGCAUCUCAUGAACAGCAGUGUUUUUGUUUUUUCAUCUUAAGUGGGGCAAAUCACUUAUAUUAAAAGCAAACUAAUGGAAGUUGCUGCUGAAAAAUUAUACACA
Molecule: long non-coding RNA, 510 nt
Organism: Poecilia latipinna (sailfin molly)
Lineage: Eukaryota; Metazoa; Chordata; Actinopteri; Cyprinodontiformes; Poeciliidae
Exons: 3
Source: RefSeq, a predicted model, not a curated record